Non-coding RNA from Ictidomys tridecemlineatus (thirteen-lined ground squirrel), 551 nucleotides. Lineage: Eukaryota; Metazoa; Chordata; Mammalia; Rodentia; Sciuridae. The record is from RefSeq and is a predicted model, not a curated record.
GGGAAGGACCCUCAGAUCAGGAAGAAACGUCACCUGUCACCUCCCUCCUGCUGGGUUCAUGUAUGGAUCAAUCAAUACUGCUCCAGGAAGGUGGGGAUGUGAAUCAUCCCUCUGUCCAGCAUUUCCACAGUAAUUAGUGACUAAUGGGUGACCACAUCAUUUACCUCACUUCAUCUUAUCACAUAGGCACUGUAUCAUCUAGCAUCAUCACAAGAAGGGAAGGGGGUGAAAAUGAAUUGGCCAAAUCGAAGGGUGGCACCUACGGGGGCUUUGAAGUUGACCUCCUUCAUGCUAUGAUGCACCUCAUAACACAAGCUGCAGAAACCACUGGAUCCAGAGAAAACUUGUACGGGGCACAAUGCCAAUGCAGAGGAUGUCAAAGCAGAAGAUUCUUCUUUCUACUGCUCUCCUGAGCACAGCAGGUAAAUCUGACAAUAAAAUGCAUAAAUAUAUACAUCUCUAUACAUGCACAAAUUAGUUUUCUUGAAAACUUAAAAAGGGGGUGACAAAAUAAAUCUCCUUAUUCAGAAAAUUUGUGAAUAAUUUCAAGG